GACGAACGCUGGCGGCGUGCCUAAUACAUGCAAGUAGAACGCUGAAGAGAGGAGCUUGCUCUUCUUGGAUGAGUUGCGAACGGGUGAGUAACGCGUAGGUAACCUGCCUUGUAGCGGGGGAUAACUAUUGGAAACGAUAGCUAAUACCGCAUAACAAUUGAUGACCCAUGUCAUUUAUUUGAAAGGGGCAAAUGCUCCACUACAAGAUGGACCUGCGUUGUAUUAGCUAGUAGGUGAGGUAACGGCUCACCUAGGCGACGAUACAUAGCCGACCUGAAAGGGGGAUCGGCCAAACUGGGACUGAGACACGGACCAGACUACUACGAGAGGCAGCAGUAGGGAAUCUUCGGCAAUGGGGGCAAGCCGGACCGAGCAAAGCCGCGUGAGUGAAGAAGGUUGUCGGAUCGUAAAGCUCUGUUGUAAGUCAAGAACGAGUGUGAGAGUGGAAAGUUCACACUGUGACGGUAGCUUAACAGAAAGGGACGGCUAACUACGUG
RNAcentral lists this ribosomal RNA (497 nucleotides) under uncultured bacterium. RNAcentral's name for it is "partial 16S ribosomal RNA". It matches the Rfam family "Bacterial small subunit ribosomal RNA", at positions 28 to 507 of the family's 1533-position model. The record is from RNAcentral.